RNAcentral lists this long non-coding RNA (550 nucleotides) under Nicotiana tabacum (common tobacco). RNAcentral's name for it is "long non-coding RNA (NTAB_LNC011721)". Lineage: Eukaryota; Viridiplantae; Streptophyta; Magnoliopsida; Solanales; Solanaceae. The record is from RNAcentral.
GGGGGGGGGGACUUCAUCUAAUCCCUUUAAAUCUGCUGAUCAGGAAGAGAGAAAGAAAGAGGGUUUUCCUUUAGAUAUUGCAAAUCUGUAUGAUGAGAAUAACUAAUCAAUUUGUUAGUAAAAAGGGUGAAAAUAAAUAUGAACAAAAAGGGUAUAUUCAAUGAAUACCUAAGUCGAUGAAUGAAGAAAUGCAAGAUGAAUCCAAGUAAGACUUUAGAUCUCAAAAAAGAGCUUUUACCUUAGAGUAAGAAACAGAUCAGAAAGUUGUUCUUGUGGUUGGUUGAAUUGCUAGAAUGGAUUCAGUUAUUGUUAGUCAACUUCUUGCUUGGCUGUAGUACUGCUUUGAGCUAAAGAGGAACAAAGAUAAUAUUUUUUUCAUCAGAAAAGGAGACAUUCAAUUCAAAAGAUGAUAAUAAGAAAAGGGAUUGGAUGAUAAACAAAUUAGAGGAAAUUAAGUGCGACGACUUGCUCUCUGGUCUCUAGUAUACCACUGCUUUUUCUUUGAGUCAAUGCACAUUGCAAUUAGUUGACUAUCGCAAUAGGAAGUAGC